CAUUCCGAACCCGGAAGUUAAGCCCUCCAGCGCCGAUGGUACUGCCGGGGCAACCUGGUGGGAGAGUAGGUCGCCGCGGGAA
RNAcentral lists this ribosomal RNA (82 nucleotides) under Nitriliruptor sp. The record is from RNAcentral. Lineage: Bacteria; Bacillati; Actinomycetota; Nitriliruptoria; Nitriliruptorales; Nitriliruptoraceae.